GAUGAAGAACGUAGCGAAAUGCGAUAAGUAGUGUGAAUUGCAGAAUUCAGUGAAUCAUCGAAUCUUUGAACGCACAUUGCGCCCCAUGGUAUUCCGUGGGGCAUGCCUGUUCGAGCGUCAUUUACCCCCUCAAGCUCCGCUUGGUGUUGGGCGUCUGUCCCGCUUCGCGCGCGGACUCGCCCCAAAGGUAUUGGCAGCGGUCGUGCCAGCUUCUCGCGCAGCACAUUGCGCUUCUCGAGGCACCGGUGGGCCCGCGACCAUCAAGCUCACCCCCCCAGUUUGACCUCGGAUCAGGUAGGGAUACCCGCUGAACUUAAGCAUAUCAAUAAGCGGAGGA
This 337-nucleotide unclassified non-coding RNA is filed under the name soil metagenome. Its description in RNAcentral is "partial contains 5.8S ribosomal RNA, internal transcribed spacer 2, and large subunit ribosomal RNA". The stretch from base 1 to 120 matches the Rfam family "5.8S ribosomal RNA", at positions 35 to 154 of the family's 154-position model. The record is from RNAcentral.